Molecule: ribosomal RNA, 195 nt
Filed under: uncultured bacterium
Lineage: Bacteria
Description: partial 16S ribosomal RNA
Rfam family: Bacterial small subunit ribosomal RNA
Source: RNAcentral
CCUACGGGAGGCAGCAGUAGGGAAUAUUGCGCAAUGGCCUAACGGCUGACGCAGCAACGCCGCGUGGAGGAUGAAGUCUUUCGGGAUGUAAACUCCUGUCAGAGGGGAAGAAAUCUCAUCCGACAAUAAUCGGAUGAGUUUGACGGUACCCUCAGAGGAAGCACCGGCCAACUCCGUGCCAGCAGCCGCGGUAAU